GGGGAUGUAGCUCAGAUGGUAGAGCGCUCGCUUAGCAUGCGAGAGGUCCGGGGAUUGAUACCCCGCAUCUCCA
This 73-nucleotide transfer RNA is filed under the name Ipomoea nil (Japanese morning glory). It matches the Rfam family "tRNA". From Rfam's summary of the family: Transfer RNA (tRNA) molecules are approximately 80 nucleotides in length. Their secondary structure includes four short double-helical elements and three loops (D, anti-codon, and T loops). Lineage: Eukaryota; Viridiplantae; Streptophyta; Magnoliopsida; Solanales; Convolvulaceae. The record is from Rfam by way of RNAcentral.